Molecule: ribosomal RNA, 1197 nt
Filed under: Triticum aestivum (bread wheat)
Lineage: Eukaryota; Viridiplantae; Streptophyta; Magnoliopsida; Poales; Poaceae
Description: partial small subunit ribosomal RNA
Source: RNAcentral
AUGAAGGAGUCGCACCGGCAAGGCCGCGGCCGCCGUGGCUCGCAGCUCGGCGACGAUGACUUGCCUUCGUCUGCCUACGACACGCCGCCGCGCCGCCAGGAGGACUCGGACGGUGACGAUUCCGACGAAGCAACAGCAGAAGACGAACGCGACGGAGGCGCGGAAGAAGGCGACCGCCUGGGCCAGUGGCAGGUCGGCUCCAUGCCUUCCAAGUUCCACCUGAACCAGCUUUCCGUGCAGGUAACUUCGCUAGCUUCCAUCGUAUCUUGGAUCUGUGAAGGUCUCCGUGCUCACAACCUGUUCGACGAAAUGACGAUGUGUUGUGCUUUUGUGGCCAGUCGCCAAAAGGGGACAUCAGCUACCCUGCUGUCAAUUUCGCUAACUCUUUGGCCGCAUACUGAGUGGCUUCGCACUGAUACGAGACGAACAGCAGUGGGCUUAGACUUUGACCGUGAGUCACUUGAGUGGUGUCUUGAGAACAACCUGAGCAAGAUUGGAGCUGAUGGGUAUUUGAGGUUGUUGCUUUUUGAUGGAAAUAUUCUGCAGCCAAAUGAAUCUCGCCUUGUCAAGCAAAAGAUCAGUGAUCUCGUGCAAGGUCUAAAUUUUACCAGUGAUGAUGGCUCUACUGAAACGAACAGCUGCGAGCAGUCAGAUUCUUCAUUUACGAAAUGUGAAGCCAAUUCGACCAUGUCAGAUGCAAUUUUGCCUGGAAGAGACAUAAUUUGUGCAUUCAACUACAGUUGUUGUUGCCUUCACAAGAGAAAGGACUUGGUUUUGUAUUUCAGGCAUGCUUUCAAUGCACUUUCUGAAAGAGGCGGUACAUUUGUAAUGGAUGUAUAUGGUGGCACGUCAUCUGAAUGCAAGCUUCGUUUCCAGAGGAGAUUCCCCAGCUUCACUUAUUUCUGGGAGCAAGAAGAGUUUGACAUCAUAACUCGUGAAACAAGGAUCAGCCUCCACUUUCAAGUUGGAAAGAAGCAAAUGAUACGGCAUGCUUUCACGUACCAUUGGCGCCUGUGGUCGAUACCGGAAAUCAAGGACUGCCUGGAGGAAGCAGGAUUUAAGUCCAUCCACGUCUGGUUCAGGGAGAUGCCAGACACCAAAUCAAGCGGAAACGCCAGGGAGUACACUGCCGACCGCGACGUGAAGUACGAGGAGCUCCAGCGUUUCAACCAGGCAGACCUUGGAACGCGUACAUAG